GUGGAUCCUGUGAACUGCAGGACACAUGAACACCGACAAGUUGAACGCAUAUUGCACAUCGUACCACAGUACGAUGUACACAUUUUUGAGUGCCUAUAUUUAUCGAUACAACUAUACGUGUGCGUGCGCGUCCCACUGCCGGGUGGACAGGUGCACGGCCCAUGGCACGUAUGCGUAGUGAUGUUUUCCCUACCGCUCCCGACUGGCGGGGAAAAAUUUUAAAUAUUCUUCCCCCUGCCCACCGGGGAUGAAUGAUGAAUACAUCCCCUACCCGGCGCGGUGGCGGCGUGGCUAUGUCGUAUUACAUCAUCAUCGAUCACCAUACCCAGCAUGCAAUAAAUAAUGACUGCCUACCCCAUAAAUUAAAACAUAUCGACAC
This 379-nucleotide ribosomal RNA is filed under the name Culicidae sp. JBI18-12_Hw. RNAcentral describes it as "eukaryotic LSU rRNA". The stretch from base 1 to 95 matches the Rfam family "5.8S ribosomal RNA", at positions 58 to 154 of the family's 154-position model. The record is from RNAcentral. Lineage: Eukaryota; Metazoa; Arthropoda; Insecta; Diptera; Culicidae.